CUAUAGGUCUAUUGUGUGAUAUGUAUUUAUCCGUCGCAAUUCUGUUCUUGCUGCAGCCACUCAGCCUCUGUCUGAGUUAAUCUAGAUUGAUGAUCUCAGCCAAUCAAAAAACAUUUUGAGGCUAGUGCAGGAAAUCACCAUGCUGUGCCAAUCAAAUGCUCUCUGACAAACGUUGCUCCAGCCAAAGGUGGCCAAUGGGACCAAGGUAAGUGGGAAACUGAUUAACAUUUGUGCAGUGUUUCAGAAUAGUGCACCUGGUACAUGGGAAAUCCAGUAUCACAAAAUGUACUACAUGUAAUCACGUAUGUGUCAUUGUGCACUAGUGGCUGAAAGCUGACCCGUGCAUUUCACUGUUUGAUACUGACUGAAUGAGUGUUCUACUGUCAGAGGGUUGGGCUGUGCAUGUGCUACUUGUUGAGUGAGCAACAAAGCUGCUAGUGUGUGAGUUGUAGAAACUAAACCUAUGGAUGUUAACAUGUGCUAGAGAUUAAAUAGCUCCCCAUGUUGGCAUCGGUAGGGGAGUGGCAUAUGGUUGAAGAGUAUUCUUGCCAGUAACACACUGAUCGCAGAUGUUGCAAGAUACCUACCACUAAGAUUUCCAUUCCUUAUUAUUGAUGGAAUCCUUUCCAAGUACCUACAACUGUCACCCUGGAUUUGCC
Molecule: non-coding RNA, 659 nt
Organism: Pelobates cultripes (western spadefoot toad)
Lineage: Eukaryota; Metazoa; Chordata; Amphibia; Anura; Pelobatidae
Source: the annotation of a GenBank genome assembly